Molecule: ribosomal RNA, 253 nt
Filed under: uncultured bacterium
Lineage: Bacteria
Description: partial 16S ribosomal RNA
Rfam family: Bacterial small subunit ribosomal RNA
Source: RNAcentral
UACGAAGGGGGCUAGCGUUGCUCGGAAUCACUGGGCGUAAAGGGUGCGUAGGCGGGUCUUUAGGUCAGGGGUGAAAUCCUGGAGCUCAACUCCAGAACUGCCUUUGAUACUGAAGAUCUUGAGUCCGGGAGAGGUGAGUGGAACUGCGAGUGUAGAGGUGAAAUUCGUAGAUAUUCGCAAGAACACCAGUGGCGAAGGCGGCUCACUGGCCCGGUACUGACGCUGAGGCACGAAGGCCAGGGGAGCAAACGGG